AGCAUAUUGGGAGCAGAGCAAAGAUAAUUUUUUCUCCUGUUUCUACAGUCAUGAGGAUUACAAAAUCGCUUUUUCUCCUUGUAAUCAAAAACUGGAGUUCUCAGGAGAUUUUUCAGUCUCAUGGAGCUUGGCCUUUAUGAAAACUUCCAGGCACAACAAGAUUCAUGCAAUGUUAUGGGAAUUGGCAACUUGGAGGUUCUGCAACCACUUCUCCCUCACAGGUUUUGUGAGAGUCCACCCCAGUGCAGGUGACAAAAAGGAGCCUCAGGUGAUGGGAAGGGCAGCCAUGACUUCAGCUGAUUAUGUCCAGGAUAGGAGCAAGUCUCAGCUAGAGCCUGGCCCUUGGCAACUUUCUUCUGUGCAGUGCUUUAGAAGAGGGCAGGGGGAGAGGGUCAUCCUCUCAUGCCCAGCUCUGGUUCAAUUUCAAAUACUCAGCUGGACUGAGAGUAUGGAUGGCUCUGCAAAUUGAGCUUGGAGGAACCCUUAAUUUAUAUGUCAUGACACAUUUACUGCCUGAAAUAACUAGAUUUGGUUAGGAAAAGAAAGGUGCCUACACAGACACUUUUCUAUAAGCAAAAGCAAGAGAAUGUUCCUUUGGUGGGGAUAACCACCAUCCACACUCCUCAUCUCCAUAAGGAUGGAGAUGUCCAUGUCCCUCAAGACUGAGGAAACUGGUCUUUGUACAAGAGCAGUCCUUUUUUCUUCCUCGUCCCUCAGCAACCCAAAACACACCCAUCAAAAUAAGGAGGCAGCCUGAGGCUGCACUGUCAUUGCUUAGAGAAAUAUUUAAUUCAUAUUUCAGUGUUUGUCUGGCGCUAGACAAAAUCAGGAACUCAACAGACACAUAACAAGCCGCCUUCUAUUUCCUCUAGGUCCUACUAUGAUCCUUCUUAGCUUUGCAGACAAUUCAAUCAUACAUGCAUUAUCCCUUAAGAGAAUGACAAUUUUUUUAAAAACCCCACACUUUUAACUCAGUCAGUAGCUAAAUUGACAAGAAUAUGCAUGCUUUCAGAAAGCAGGUGUGACUAGAUGAGGAUUAAACAAAAAUUAAAUGAAAUUGUUUUAUUAUGAUAUUUUUAAUUCCUUUCUCAGUGGUGGCCAGUGAUUCUGUUUCACAGUAGGAAGUCAUAUUUCAGCAACAAAUUCACAGGACUGGAAAUUAAUAGCUGCCCUUUUUCAGUGCUAUCUUAAAAGCCUCUAAUUUCACCUCUGUUUUCUCACCCUCUGGGUUUUCUGGUUAGUUUACCUUAACGGUAAA
Serinus canaria (Common canary) is the source of this 1258-nucleotide long non-coding RNA. RefSeq lists it as uncharacterized. NCBI's taxonomy places the organism in Eukaryota, Metazoa, Chordata, Aves, Passeriformes, Fringillidae. The transcript has 3 exons. The record is from RefSeq and is a predicted model, not a curated record.